Gopherus agassizii (Agassiz's desert tortoise) is the source of this 1572-nucleotide long non-coding RNA. The record is from Ensembl. NCBI's taxonomy places the organism in Eukaryota, Metazoa, Chordata, Testudines, Testudinidae.
CCGCAUGCUCUGUGGGGAGCGCACAAAAUGCCGAAUCCCGGCGCCCUCGGCGACCGCCUAGGGUCACCUAAUGGAAGCGCCAGCCCUGCCUACAUUGGCACCUUCAGCAAACUGCCCUGACCAGGCUCAUCCCUGCCAGCUCAGGGCCCUGUGGGUUGGGUUGUUCCUUUAAGAGGAAUUUCCUCUCUGCCCUGGUCAGCCAGGGUUGCAGACCAUUCGUUUCUGAGGCUUUUUGUACUUUUGUUUUUGCGGAAAGUGAAAGGGACAGGAGGGGAGAGUACUCGGCCCAGUCAAUUCAGCUCCAAAUGUAACAACCACCAUGACGAGUCUGGACCCAACCCCCCAGCUUUGUGAUGCCCUGUGUGGAGCAGGGGCAGCAGCCUCGACCCAGCUACGAUGGCGGGGAAGGUUCCCUUGUUCUCCCCCGGCUCCACAGUGAGCUCUGCUCUGCCUGGCUACGUGGCUCUCUGCCUCACCCUACAGCUUCACAGGCUGGUGUCAGGCCCUUACACCAUCCCUACACUGGUUGGAGAGGCCCCCACACUGAGCAGCAUGAAAAGUCCUUGGUGUAUCAGAGAACCUGACCCCCCAGUAUCCAUUAUACCCAAGGACCUCUAUUCAGAGAUAAUAGGGACAGUGUAUAAUGUUCACAUGUGAACUCUGGGUGACCAGUAUUGGAACCACAUGCAGUAUUUUGGGAACUAUCAAAUUAACAUGAAUGUGUAUUUUUGUACUCCUUGAUAAAUAGUAUCUGUGUGUAACUUUGUGGGCUCAGGACUGUAAUCUACUCCAUCGGGGAGGAUGUGAUGCUCUGUAACUCAGGGAAACACCCAGCACCCUGUGUUCAUCCUUGUAAAAAUGAUUGUGUGAUGUCCAGUCCAAAGUUUGUCAUGUCGGGUGUCUUCAGAAAGCUCAAGAUGCGCUGAGUGUCGUUGUUACAGUAAUGUUAUAGUAAUUGUUAUUACAAGUAAAGUUGUAGUAAUGUUAUAGGUUAUAAUUUCAUGUAUGUAGUUAUGAGGCUGAAAAUGUGUCCUCAUGGCUUAAAAUGAGCCCUGGCAAAAACUUUCCAAGAGCAGAGGGGCAGUUCACACCUCAUCAGGGCAGAUAUGAGACAAACCCAGCCCAGCCUCCCAGGAACAAAGGACACUGGCUUAGGCAGCAACAAAGGGUCUAUUGGACACUCUAGUGAGUCACUCCCCUUCCUUUAGUCAGUUUGAAACUGCGAAGAGGUGAUGCUCAUCUGACUCUGAAGGGGGGAGGGGGAACAAAGCCAGGAGUGAAGAAAGGACAUGAUAAAAGGGAGAGACAUUUGCCAUGCUCUCUCUCUUCCGCCUACAUCUACAGACACCACCAUCAAGGGACUGACGCGCUGAUCAGAGGGGAGAGCCUGUCUGAAGAGCGAGCAGCCAGCCUGUGGUGAGAAGCAUCCACAUUUGUAAGAGCACUGAAAAUGUUAAGAUCAGCUUAGAAUGUGUUUUGCUUUUAUUUCAUUUGACCAAAUCUGACUUAUUUGCCUUAUAAUCACUUCAAAUUUAUUUCCGUAGUUAAUAAAUGUUUGUUCUACCUGAAGCA